RNAcentral lists this ribosomal RNA (332 nucleotides) under uncultured bacterium. RNAcentral describes it as "bacterial SSU rRNA". It matches the Rfam family "Bacterial small subunit ribosomal RNA", at positions 568 to 898 of the family's 1533-position model. The record is from RNAcentral.
CGUGUAGGCGGCCGAUCAAGUCCGGUGUGAAAGCCCGAGGCUCAGCUUCGGAAGUGCAUCGGAAACUAGCCGGCUCGAGCGCGAUAGAGGAGGGUGGAAUUCCUGGUGUAGCGGUGAAAUGCGUAGAUAUCAGGAGGAACACCGGCGGCGAAGGCGGCCCUCUGGAUCGUUGCUGACGCUGAGACGCGAAAAGCGUGGGGAGCAAACAGGAUUAGAUACCCUGGUAGUCCACGCUGUAAACGAUGGGUACUAGGUGUUCGGGGUGUUGACCCCCUGAGUGCCGACGCUAACGCAUUAAGUACCCCGCCUGGGGACUACGGCCGCAGGUUAAA